GACGAACGCUUGCGGCGUGCUUAACACAUGCAAGUCGAACGGAAAGGCCCUGCUUUUGUGGGGUGCUCGAGUGGCGAACGGGUGAGUAACACGUGAGUAACCUGCCCUUGACUUUGGGAUAACUUCAGGAAACUGGGGCUAAUACCGGAUAGGAGCUCCUGCUGCAUGGUGGGGGUUGGAAAGUUUCGGCGGUUGGGGAUGGACUCGCGGCUUAUCAGCUUGUUGGUGGGGUAGUGGCUUACCAAGGCUUUGACGGGUAGCCGGCCUGAGAGGGUGACCGGCCACAUUGGGACUGAGAUACGGCCCAGACUCCUACGGGAGGCAGCAGUGGGGAAUAUUGCACAAUGGGCGGAAGCCUGAUGCAGCAACGCCGCGUGCGGGAUGACGGCCUUCGGGUUGUAAACCGCUUUCGCCUGUGACGAAGCGUGAGUGACGGUAAUGGGUAAAGAAGCACCGGCUAACUACGUGCCAGCAGCCGCGGUGAUACGUAGGGUGCGAGCGUUGUCCGGAUUUAUUGGGCGUAAAGGGCUCGUAGGUGGUUGAUCGCGUCGAAAGUGUAAUCUUGGGGCUUAACCCUGAGCGUGCUUUCGAUACGGGUUGACUUGAGGAAGGUAGGGGAGAAUGGAAUUCCUGGUGGAGCGGUGGAAUGCGCAGAUAUCAGGAGGAACACCAGUGGCGAAGGCGGUUCUCUGGGCCUUUCCUGACGCUGAGGAGCGAGAGCGUGGGGAGCGAACAGGCUUAGAUACCCUGGUAGUCCACGCUGUAAACGGUGGGUACUAGGUGUGGGGUCCAUUCCACGGGUUCCGUGCCGUAGCUAACGCUUUAAGUACCCCGCCUGGGGAGUACGGCCGCAAGGCUAAAACUCAAAGGAAUUGACGGGGCCCCGCACAAGCGGCGGAGCAUGCGGAUUAAUUCGAUGCAACGCGUAGAACCUUACCUGGGUUUGACAUGGAUCGGGAGUGCUCAGAGAUGGGUGUGCCUCUUUUGGGGUCGGUUCACAGGUGGUGCAUGGCUGUCGUCAGCUCGUGUCGUGAGAUGUUGGGUUAAGUCCCGCAACGAGCGCAACCCUUGUUCACUGUUGCCAGCACGUUAUGGUGGGGACUCAGUGGAGACCGCCGGGGUCAACUCGGAGGAAGGUGGGGAUGACGUCAAGUCAUCAUGCCCCUUAUGUCCAGGGCUUCACGCAUGCUACAAUGGCUGGUACAGAGAGUGGCGAGCCUGUGAGGGUGAGCGAAUCUCGGAAAGCCGGUCUCAGUUCGGAUUGGGGUCUGCAACUCGACCUCAUGAAGUCGGAGUCGCUAGUAAUCGCAGAUCAGCAACGCUGCGGUGAAUACGUUCCCGGG
RNAcentral lists this ribosomal RNA (1343 nucleotides) under uncultured bacterium. Its description in RNAcentral is "16S ribosomal RNA". It matches the Rfam family "Bacterial small subunit ribosomal RNA", at positions 28 to 1378 of the family's 1533-position model. The record is from RNAcentral.